This 265-nucleotide ribosomal RNA is filed under the name uncultured bacterium. RNAcentral describes it as "partial 16S ribosomal RNA". It matches the Rfam family "Bacterial small subunit ribosomal RNA", at positions 793 to 1055 of the family's 1533-position model. The record is from RNAcentral.
GUCCAUGCCGUAAACGAUGUGCACUAGGUGUCAGCCCCUCUGGGGUUGGUGCCGCAGUUAACACUUUAAGUGCACCACCUGGGGAGUACGGUCGCAAGACUGAAACUCAAAGGAAUUGACGGGGACCCGCACAAGCGGUGGAGCAUGUGGUUUAAUACGACGCUACGCGUGGAACCUUACCAGGACUUGACAUGCAUAUGAAAGCCCAGCGAAAGCUGGGACCUAUCCUAAAGAUACAUUUGCACAGGUGUUGCAUGGCUGUCGU